AAGUUAAAAGCAAGCAAUUUCUAAUUACCAAUUCCUGUUAACAAAUUGAACUACUUGUGAAAAUAAACUAUUGUUUGUUGAAACUAAACUAAACCAGAGCAAUAGUUAGCUGCUAACCACAAUCCAGGCAAUAUUUCUAAAAAAACAAACAGUCCUGAAUAUUUCGAAUUAACAAACAACACUAGAUUUCUAGUGGAUAGACUAUUUUAUACAUCAAAAUUAAAACAACAAUGAAAUAUAUUCAGAGAACAACUCCAAUAGCCUUUUACUUCAUUUCCAUAAGCUUGAGAUCUACAAGUGUGUACCUGGUAGAGGAAUUUAAUAGAAGAAGAAGAAGGUCAGCCUCAGCAGGUAGCAAAUCAACAGGUAACAACCAGCCACAAUAAGAGUGAUUUUCGAAUCAAAACCUAGUUUCAAAGCCCUAGGAAUGAACUCAAAAGUUCAAUUGAAAUUUCAGCACUCAACCACAACCCACAUGAACUCGAAAUAAUAGACCAAAACAAACCUCGAACCUCAGCACCCAAAACAAAAACAAAAUGAACUCGAAUUCAAAUGCAAACAGCUUCUAAUUCUCAGCUACCCUUUGUUGAAUCAAAGGAUCGAAUUACACUACUCAAACUUGAAAUUAAGCUAAAAUGACCAAUAGAACAGUGACUUUGUUUUGGUUUUCUAUUGUUUUUGAUUUUUUUGUUUUCCUUUUGUAGAAUGCUAAGAUCUAAGGGAUUUCAGAUAUGAAAAUGUUAAUUCAGAUCUUGAAUAUUGGGGAAUACUUUAUGCAAAAAAGUUUAGGCUACCAAACUUGAUGGCUAAGGCAUUAUUCAUAUCUUUUUAUUGGCCAAAAGAGGGCAGUCCCUUAAAACUCUUAUUUACCCUAUUAGUCCUUCUUUUUUAUUGAGUUAGUUCCUUAGUUAUUAACUUGUUACCCAAGCUAGUAUCCUAAAUUUUCUAAAAUCUAACUUGAACCCCAUUCUAGAAGAUUCUAAGGUGUUCUAUUCCAAUCUACAUCAUUCCAUCCUAUUACUAAAGCCUAAAAUACCCCUGAGCUUAAUACUAAAUUGCAGCUAUAACCAAACAAUACCUAAACUCUGAAUUUACCAACUACUGAAGAAAACUCCUGUUAACCCACCAACUGAAUCACAUUAACACUACCUUAUGGAAUCGUGAAUUAACUACUCUAUAUUGUUAAACCAAAUUGAAAAGAAAACAAACACAAGCUCAUCUCAACAAAAUUAAUAGCCAAAAGGAAAACGACCAAAAUUAUUAGACAGGAAAAAAUGGAAUCAACCAUAAAUAAAGCUAAAAAUGGGUGCCUAUGAUUGAAAUCCAAUUACUAUCUACAUGGCCAAGGAAUUCGGUCAAAAGGGAGCGACGGAGGGGGACAUAAUUUGACUAUUGAACAGAAAUAAGAAGAAGAUUGAAAUGAGACAAAUUGACAGAAGAAAUGAAAUAAACAAAAGAGAGAGAGAGACUCAUCAGCUUGACUCGAAUAUCCACCUCGAAUUUCUGCUACAAAACCCAACUUGAUGACAGUCAUCCAUUCCCCGUCAAGAAAACGUGCAAACGAUGUGCCCGGACAUGUAAAAGACCUCAUAAGAACGACUUCACUCAGACCUCCGAUUCUUUUGAUUUCGAGCCGCAAUUGGUAUUUAUCACAGGUUCUUGUCAAGAACCAAUAUGAAACAACAAUUACUGCUCUUAACCAGUCAUUGAAGCUUGCAAAUUUGGGAAACUUUGUCUACUGUUUCCAAUUUUGUUUCGAAGAAAAGGAGUGGUUCUUAAAAAAAAAACAAAUCAUGUAUAUGGAAUGGGGACAUGAAGAUGGUUGUUUGGUCAAGUUUUCAAGCAGUUUGGAGGUAGAUCGUCGCCGCAUGGCGACUUCCGGUAGUGGUGACAGGCGGUGAGGAAUGAGAAACGAAGGUGAUGAUAGUCUUAGGUUCUUCAGACAAUUGUAAUAAGAUAGUGAAUGUGAUUGGGGCCCUUGGAUGAGAAAGAAUGGAGGGACAAGAUUAAAAGAUCACUUACUAAACCCAAAACGAAGUCAUUUUUGCUAGUAAGACUUGGACUGGGUUGAAGAUAAAGAAUCUGGGCUGGCCGGCGGAUCAAUGGCCCAACUUUGGCCCUUUUAUAAGACUACUUCUUUUAACUUUGUUUUUUUCUUCUUCUUUUUUUUUUCUUUUAAUUCUUUUCUUUUUAUACAAUUUGUUUUUCGUAUUUUUCUGAUUUUA
RNAcentral lists this long non-coding RNA (2225 nucleotides) under Nicotiana benthamiana. Its description in RNAcentral is "long non-coding RNA (NBEN_LNC035072)". The record is from RNAcentral. Lineage: Eukaryota; Viridiplantae; Streptophyta; Magnoliopsida; Solanales; Solanaceae.